This 228-nucleotide long non-coding RNA is filed under the name Numida meleagris (helmeted guineafowl). RNAcentral's name for it is "lncRNA (ENSNMEG00000014538.1)". Lineage: Eukaryota; Metazoa; Chordata; Aves; Galliformes; Numididae. The record is from RNAcentral.
UGGGCAACAGUGGAUCAGAGCACCACAGAGAAGUGAAAUAUGCCCACUGCAUCCAGGCAAGAUUAAGACCUCAUUUCACAAAGUUCUGUGAAACACUAUCUUUGAACUUAAUCACUCCUACAAUCCCUUGCAGAAGAUAAGUGACUAUGCACAAGUUCUGAUUGCUUAGUAAGACUAGACAAACUUUCCCCACAAGUGGGAAGAAUUUGGAAAUGAGAACAUGAGUGA